UACGAAGGGGGCGAGCGUUGUUCGGAAUUACUGGGCGUAAAGGGCGCGCAGGCGGUCCUUCAAGUCAGAUGUGAAAGCCCCGGGCUCAACCUGGGAACUGCAUUUGAGACUGGAGGACUUGAGGACGGGAGAGGAGAGUGGAAUUCCCAGUGUAGAGGUGAAAUUCGUAGAUAUUGGGAAGAACACCUAUGGUGAAGGCAGCUCUCUGGGACGGUACUGACGCUGAGACGCGAAAGCGUGGGGAGCGAACAGG
RNAcentral lists this ribosomal RNA (253 nucleotides) under uncultured bacterium. Its description in RNAcentral is "partial 16S ribosomal RNA". It matches the Rfam family "Bacterial small subunit ribosomal RNA", at positions 524 to 776 of the family's 1533-position model. The record is from RNAcentral.